Molecule: unclassified non-coding RNA, 595 nt
Filed under: Hekistocarpa minutiflora
Lineage: Eukaryota; Viridiplantae; Streptophyta; Magnoliopsida; Gentianales; Rubiaceae
Description: sequence contains ITS1, 5.8S rRNA gene, ITS2
Rfam family: 5.8S ribosomal RNA (bases 223-378)
Source: RNAcentral
UCGAAUCCUGCAAAGCAGACGACCGCGAACUCGUGACACCGCACGGGUGCCGGUGGGAGCGGGUUGGGACAAAACCCUCCCGUCCCAGCGCCGGCGCCCCCCGCGCGCUCGUCGCGCGGACACUAACUCAACCCCGGCGCGGAAAGCGCCAAGGAAAACUGAAUUUGGAUGGCCCGCCUCCCCGUUCGCGGGGGGUGCCGCGGCGUCUGUCGUAACCAAAACGACUCUCGGCAACGGAUAUCUCGGCUCUCGCAUCGAUGAAGAACGUAGCGAAAUGCGAUACUUGGUGUGAAUUGCAGAAUCCCGUGAACCAUCGAGUCUUUGAACGCAAGUUGCGCCCGAAGCCAUUAGGCCGAGGGCACGUCUGCCUGGGCGUCACGCAUCGCGUCGCCACCCCCAUCGCGGGGCGGCGGAAAAUGGCCUCCCGUUCCGCGAGGCGCGGCCGGCCCAAACGCGAGUCCUCGGCGAGGGACGUCACGACAAGUGGUGGUUGAAUGCCUCAACUCGAGUCCUGUCGUGCCGGCGAAUCCCCCCGUUGUCUCGGACUCCCACGACCCCACGGCGCGCGUCACGGCGCGAGCCUCGACCGCGACCC